This 254-nucleotide ribosomal RNA is filed under the name uncultured bacterium. RNAcentral describes it as "partial 16S ribosomal RNA". It matches the Rfam family "Bacterial small subunit ribosomal RNA", at positions 524 to 776 of the family's 1533-position model. The record is from RNAcentral.
UACGUAGGGUGCGAGCGUUGUCCGGAUUUAUUGGGCGUAAAGAGCUCGUAGGCGGUUUGUCGCGUCGGCCGUGAAAUCUCCACGCUUAACGUGGAGCGUGCGGUCGAUACGGGCAGACUUGAGUUCGGUAGGGGAGACUGGAAUUCCUGGUGUAGCGGUGAAAUGCGCAGAUAUCAGGAGGAACACCGGUGGCGAAGGCGGGUCUCUGGGCCUUACCUGACGCUCGAGGUGCGAAAGCUAGGGGAGCGAACAGG